Molecule: RNA transcript, 1221 nt
Organism: Piliocolobus tephrosceles (Ugandan red Colobus)
Lineage: Eukaryota; Metazoa; Chordata; Mammalia; Primates; Cercopithecidae
Gene name: mitochondrial import inner membrane translocase subunit Tim17-B pseudogene
Exons: 1
Source: RefSeq, a predicted model, not a curated record
UUAGUAGAGACGGUGUUUCUCCAUGUUCAUCAGGCUGGUCUCAAACUCCCAACCUCAGGUGAUCCACUCGCCUCGGCCCCCAAAGCGCUGGGAUUACAGGCGUGAGCCACUGCACCCGGCCUAAUUUUUCUCUUCUGUGUACAUCAACCUCCCACAUGCUAUACUAUUUAUUUAUAUUAUGAUCUGGUUAUCCUCAUUAAAAUGUAAGCUCCAUGAGGAAAGGGCUUUAAAGUCAGUUUUGCUCGCUGCUAUAUCAACAAUAGCUAGAAGAAUGCCUAGCACAUGCUUGUCUUUAAAUAUAUAAUUUCUCCAUAAAUGAAUAAAGUCAUUACUGUCAUGCAUGAUCUCAUUAAUACUCAUUUAAUACUCACAGAAAACUUAGAAAAUUUUAUGUUACAUAUUAUGUAACCACAGAAUUAGUGGUAUCUUUUUCUAGACUGGAUAAAAGUUUGGAUUCAUGUAGCAAGUACAGCAGGCAAAAAGUAUGCAUACAAAUAUCUGUAUAUAUAUCUAUGCUAUUUGUAAUAAUAAAAUGUUAAACAGGAGAAGUAUCUAAAAAUUUCUUCAGUAGAUGAUCUGUUAAAUAAGUUUAGUAGCCCAAUACUUUAUAUAGAAAAUAAAUUAUUUUUUUACUUAAUAUGAACUAAGCAUAUUUUAUCACUGUGUAAAAAAAAUAGUUGUAACAUAAAAAAUACAAUUGUGGGCAUCCAGUGCCAUGGAGGAGUACGCUUGGGAGCCUUGCCCAUGGCGAAUUGUGGAUGAUUGUGGUGGAGUCUUCACUGUGGGUGUCAUUGGUGGUAGAGUCUUCCAGGCCAUCAAGGGUUUCCGCAAUGCCCCUGUUGGAAUUCGGCACCAGUUGAGAGGUAGUGUUAACACUGUGAGGAUCCAAGUCCCCCAGAUUGGAGGUAGCUUCGCAGUGUUGGGGGGCCUGUUCUCCACCAUCGACUGUGGCCUGGUACAGCUUCCGGGCAAGGAGGAUCCCUGGAAAUCUAUCACCAGUGGAGUAUUGAUGGGGCUGUGCUGGCUGCCUGCAGUGGCCCACUGGCCAUGGUGGCCUCAGCGAUGAUGGGGGACAUCCUGUUGGCCCUCAUUGAGGGCGUUGGCAUCCUCGUCACUCGCUACACAGCCCAGCAGUUCCAAAAUCCUCCCUCAUUCCUGGAGGACCCCAGCCAACUGUCCUCUAAGGAUGGCACCCAGGCCCCAGGCUAUCCCAUAUAUUAG